AUGGAGCAUGAUGGAGUUCUCCAAAGACCUCAGAAGCCAACUUACCUGGAUGUCUUCUUAAACGUGAAAACAUCUCCUAAACCACUCGGUCCUGAGGAUCAAGAGAGAGAGGUCGCGCUGAUGGAAGAAGCUGCUUACCUGUCAUCGCUCAGAGAAGCCUGCACCGACACCCGAAUCGCUCCCAUCCAGCACUGUACCAUCACUGCUGCAGGUGCUUUACGGAACAAACCAGGACCUGAUUUUAGGUUUGUUUGCCUCUUCAUUGUGUGUGUCACCACCGAAUGGAGUCUGCACAAGGCCUUGUCCGCCAGAUUGAAGUCACUGGCAAGAGUACAUCUGGACUGGUGAGUAAGGACCUCUGAAAAUCUGCUGCAGCAUAAAAGCAAUAAGAAUGCUGGAAAAACUUGUUCCUAUUAGCUUUUUCAGAACUGUGGAGAACCUAAAACUUCUAAUAAUGUGAAGAAUGCUCAUUAAGGAAAAACAGUUGAAUCUUGGCAAAAAUCAAGCUUGGUUGCAAUUUAGCGUGCUCUAAUCCUAUCCCAUCCUUCUGCACUGAAACUUAAGCUACAGUUCAACCACCUGAGAACCAAGAGAGAAAAAUGUUUUGGUGGAGGAGAGGACAUGGUGUCCUACAGUAGUGUGGGCAUAUCAGGAGCUGAAUGUGCAGUGAACACGGGGGGCUUGUGGGAACGUGGCAGCAGGGAAUAUGGACAGGAUUCGGAGCAUGGGCAGGAUUCAGAUCUUGUGCAGCUACUUGUACCAGGCCAUUUGGAGCUUUAUCUUGAGGCUCAUAGGAAACUAAUAAAGACUUUUAUUCUGCGAGAACAGAGAAGUUCAGCCUCGUACUUCAGAAGUCCCUCUGGUUACCAUGGGGAGACUGGCAUGGGGCAUGGACAGGGUAUGAUGGUGAGCAUGCAAUAAACUCACUUUCCCUGAGAUAGGGUGUUGCAAGCAGAGGCCAGG
Molecule: long non-coding RNA, 963 nt
Filed under: Chinchilla lanigera (long-tailed chinchilla)
Lineage: Eukaryota; Metazoa; Chordata; Mammalia; Rodentia; Chinchillidae
Description: lncRNA (ENSCLAG00000022427.1)
Source: RNAcentral